ACUCUUGACACUAGCAGGCCUCCUUCUGUCACUUCUAGUAAUGAUUCAUCUAAUUCCCAGAAAUCAUUUGUGUUUAACAACUCUAUGAUUUCUGGGCGCAAAUCUAAACCACUUCUCCCCCUCCCAAAACCCCUAGUAGGAAGAAGCUAAUGCUUAACUCGGAUAAACAUCCAAGGCAAAAGCACACAAAAACCUCUAAAUGCUCUAUUAGCACUCAGGUUGUGAAUGAGCAAGUGAACAAUGCGACCCAAACUCAGAGUCACACCCCUUGUUCUAUUUCCCGGGCAACAGACCCAAUUCCAUCUGUUGUCAUAAAAAUACAUCCACUUCCCAGGCAACUGAUCCCAUUCCAGUUGCCCAUUUCAUCAGCUCUGCCAGCACCCAGUGUGCCAGUGAGCUAGUGAACAUGAGACUCAAACGCAGAGUCACACCUUCAUUUCCCGGCAACAGAUCCAAUUUUCCUGUUGUCCUCAAACCUACUUCUACCUCCCGGGCCACUGAUCCUAUUCCGGUUACCCAUUUCAGCUGCUCUAUUAGCACACAAAUUGCGAACGAGCUAGUAAAUAAUGCAACUCAGACACAGAGUCGCAACUACACUUCCGGGCAACAGACCCAAUUUCUCCUGUUGUCCAUAACAAAAGUUCAAAUACUUUUACUGAACCCCUUUCCAAGGCUGAUGACCCUAAAAUUUCGGUCUCUUCCUCUACACUCCCUUCUGAACACCUCUUGGGCAAGACAACUGAUUCUGGGUUUCUCUAUGAUCCGCACGAUGACGUCUGCUCUGAGAUGUCAGAAGAGGAAAUGCUAAUGCCUGAUGACCCCCGAUUAAUCGCGCUUCUAGCUGAAGACGAGGAACCAGGGGUUGAUCUGCAAACUGUAUCCCCUGAAACGGAGGAUUCUCAUGAUUCUUCCUCCGUUUUCGAUGAUUUCUCAGAUAUUUAUCAGAUUAAGGACAUCAUAUACUCAAUAAAGACGAUAAAAGAACUGCACCACCACAAACCUUUAUUAAGAUAUUCAGACUCUAACAGUCUAUUCGAGGCUAUAGAUGCCGAUUUCCGGCACGAUAGUGCAAUCGAAACAGCCGAACGAAACCUCUAUUUACUUAGGUGUGUAUAUGCGCUUGAUGAUGCUACACCAGAUAAGUCAAUUUAUAAAGAGGUCCUCCAAAGAAAACUGGAGCUUUCGCAAUUCUCUUACCUAUUUCCUCACCCACUCAAAAUAGGCAACACACCUUCUUGUUAUCAAGUCCCUACUACUGCCGAUUCAAAUCCUAGUAGUAGUGUCCCUAACGAAUCAAUUAAACCUCCACUGCCUUCAAUUAAACCAAAUAGGAAAAAGGCUAGGAAAAAGAAGAGAUAGUCAAAUUUCCUAAACACUCCCAAUAAAUUUGACCCUAAACCCCCUCCAAUUACUAUGUGAUUGGCUACUCUAUUGAGCUCUACGCAGCUCCGCCCUUAUUCUAUUUCUAUACUCUGUGCUCUUCAUGUAUAUUUAGUUAUAUUACUUGGUCCCUGUGUGGAUCAAGAAUUCUUCUUUAUUCCAUUUCAUAUCGAUCCUUAGUUAUAAUUAUCGUAUAUGUUUAUGUAUCCUAUCCUAUGUAUAGACUCAAUGUAAACUCUAAUCUAUAUAUAGUCAAAUUUACAUGUUCCCUUGUGGAGCAUGAUCCCUUAUUUACUUUUUCUCUAUUUUACAUUUCGAUUUCUGAUUAUUAUUUGUCGUAUUUGUAAUUAUUCACUGCUUCCUUCAAUAAAAAUUUCUGUGGGGGGAGCACUUAAGGUUAAGUCCGCCAACAAUGUUGGCAAAAUUAUAAUUAUUUUGAUGGUUUGCAACACCUAGACGUUGAGUUGUCUCCGUUGCCUUUACAUGACCGAAUGGCAUGUGGGUUUAUAACAAUUUAAGUGCUCUCCUCACGGAGUCUAAUUGCCAAAUGCCUCGCCAUCUAAUUAGUGACGCGCAUGAAUGGAUUAACGAGAUUCCCACUGUCCCUAUCUACUAUCUAGCGAAACCGCAGCCAAGGAACGGACUUGGAAAGAUCAGCGGGGAAAGAAGACCCUGUUGAGUUUGACUCUAGUCUCUUAUUGUGGCGGAGCAUCUUGGGCGUAGAAUAGGGAGGAGAUACUUUGUAUCGCCGGUGAAAUACUCCUACUAAGAUCGCUCCUCUGCUUACUCGGUUAAGCAGGGUUAUCUUGAUUUCAAGAUAUUUUCUUGUCUCAAUCGUUGAGCCUUUGGUUCUUCGAGACCUGCUCCGAGGACAUUGCGAGGCGGGGAGUUUGACUGGGGCGGUACAUCUACCAAACAAUAACGUAGGUGUCCUAAGGCCAGCUCAGUGAGGACGGAAACCUCACGUAGAGCAAAAGGGCAAAUGCUGGCUUGACCUCUCCCUUCGGUACGGGGCGAGGAGCAGAAAUGUCGGCCUAUCGAUCCUCUUUAUUUAAGAGCUUUAAGAAAGAGGUGCCAGAAAAAUUACCACAGGGAUAACUGGCUUUUGGCAGCCAAGCGUUCAUAGCGACGUCGCUUUUUGAUCCUUCGAUGUCGGCUCUUCCUAUCAUUGCGAAGCAGAAUUCGCCAAGCGUCGGAUUGUUCACCCGCUAAUAGGGAACGUGAGCUGAGUUUAGACCGUCGUGAGACAGGUUAGUUUUACCCUACUGAUGACUCGUCGUUGCGAUAGUAAUCCUGCUCAGUACGAGAGGAACAGCAGGUUCGGACAUUUGGUACACGUACUUGACUGAUCAGUCAGUGGUGCGAAGCUACCAUCCGCCGGAUUAUGCCUGAACGCCUCUAAGGCAGAAUCCGUUCUAGACAUGGCAAUGAUAUUGUUGGAUUAGUAUCUUUGCAUGGAGGAAACUUAACAUCUUUAUUGAUGUUUAUUUGAAUCCCUUCUUAAUGGGAGGUUUGGUUGAUGUGAUCAUGUAUUGCGUUAGCUUCUCCCUGUCAAGAUAAUGCGAUGUGCUAAUCCCAAAUCGUCUGUAGACGACUUAUGUACCGGCCGGGGUGUCGUACUUGGUAGAGCAGCUACCACACUGCGAUCUAUUGAGACUCAGCCCUUUUGACUGGAUGAUUUGUCUUGAAGGAUAGAUAAGUCAUCUUGUUGAAGGGGCUGCGGUUGAAAGCAAGCGGCGGCGUUUGUUUUCUUUAUCUAAAGCUAAAGAAACAAAGUUUCAAAGUGUUGUUUUCGUUUGUUUGCGGCGGCGGGGGACAGUUGUUUGUUGAGUUGUUGUUGUUGUUGUCUGUCUCUCGGUUGAAAAGAAAUGAUGUAUUUUUGCGUCGUUGUUUUUCAAGACUUUUUGAUGUUGAGAAUGUUGUUCAUUUUUGUCCUUUUUUUAAAGUUCAAAAGUGAUGUGUCUUGAAAAACAACGACGCAAAAAUUAAUAUAUAUUUUUAUUGAUGAACAUUAAGAAAAUCAUAAUGUUAAUUAAAUGAUACUUGAGAUUUAAAGCAAAAUGUUAAGUCGUUAAUAAACACUUUUUUUACAUUUUUUGUUCUUCAAAACUUUAACAAAAACCAAAUGUUAGAAUCCUUUGAAAAAAAAGUUAAAAAUAUUUUUUCUUUAAAGAAAGAAACAUUAAUUUAUUUCUCAAACAGAGAAAGAAAAAAAAUAUAUCUUUCUUAAAAGAAAAAACACAUCACUUUUGAACUUGAAGUGAAAGCCCUUUCUAACUUGUUGCUUUCUAAAGUGAAAGUACUUUCCAACCUUCUAUUUUGGUACGGUAACGUUUUUAGAAAGCCGUUAACGUUUUUAGAAAACAGUUCCAUUUUUCGGCCAUUAGCCCAUUGCUGCCUUCUUUCUAAUUCCUCCAGUGGUCUGUUCUUUCCCUCUCUCUCUUUCACUAACAGAGGUUAAAGUUGACCACCUGGUAUUGUGGACACUCUUGUGGAGAUUCCGGAGACCCAAUCCCCGUCUCCACUUCAAGUUUACCCUUCUCAAACCCCUGGACGAUACUCUCCCCGUCUCAUCUAUUAAACUUUGUAAAAGACCAAACUUUGAAUUUAUUUCAGAUUCUACACAUCUACCGUUCCUUGCACCCUCCAUCCACCCAGUGUAUCACGUGUGCAGUGUCUAGUAGUGUUUUCAUUUGCAGAUCUUCUCAAACAUGACUGGAAAACACCCCCUCGCCUCAUAUCAGAGGCAAAUCGACAAGGUAUGCGCAAUAUGCGCGGCUGCCUUUACCCAUCCCCAAUCUCUUUACCAACAUAUCUCCCUCACACACUCCCUGGAGCUGGCUUCGUUUAAGACCCAGUAUCCUCAUAGGUACAAGGCUCGCCCUACCUACUCCAGUGACGACUAUAGGAAGAUAAAAUCGCUGGAACUACUCCUGGCAAAACGCAUGCCUGCUGAAUCCCAAACAUACAUGAACUGCUGGCUUGCCCAGCUCACAGUUCACACCGCAGACGCCUUGAAGGCGAUGCGGAAUGGUGAACCUUACAAGAGAGUCAGCGCUCAAAUCGCAACCCCAACUCCUAGGUUACUAACGGAGAUAUCCAAACUCAAGAAUGCAGCCAACUGGACCCUAGAGGAAACGGCUGCCCUUGCCCAUGCUGAGCUAGAGGUUGCCUCACCGCUGAGCAUGGACGAGGACCUUCUUAUUGACCACCUAGUGCAGCGAUUUUCCUACGUCCUGCACUCUCAAUUAAGAAGAAGAGAAAAUCCGAAGCCUACAAGAAUAAAAUUGAGGACAUCAGGAAGCUAAAGACAAUGGCUUCCACGGUGACGGCUGGCCGUCAUAGUCUCCGUCCUUCAAACUCUUACCAAUAGCGACGAAAGGGCAGCGAGUCUGUCACCCAUCCUCGAAGAAAAUCGCAACGCGUUUCGAGGAGGUUGACGUUGGCUCCCGGUCUAUCUUUACUAAACCGCGAAUGAUUGAACCACAAGAUGAAACACCAUUCGCUUCCCCUGCAGUCCCUGUUCCCCGUCAGCUGGACAUGGACGCAACCCACUCUACUCGGAGGCCUUGCCCCAAAUCAAGCGGAAAUCCUCCUGCGAGUGUCUUCCAGAGACGCCUCUCUCCAACUUCUGCGGCAACCCAUUACACCGCCCAUGGUUGAAACCCGAAGCCCAUCGCCCAGUCCGUCAUGCUCUAGGAGGCUGAUUGCGCCACCCAAUGAAGCCAACGACGAGACUGAUGAGGGCGCCUUCCUACCGGCCUUGACGCCGGCCAACAAUCCCCUCGAGCCAAAGAAACGCCCCAGAGAUAGUGAAUCCUCUGGGCGUUCAAUGAGCUCCAUAAAAAGGUGGGCUAGACCCUCACCUCCUCCUCCUCCUCGGGCGAGGAGUUCAUCACGGCUUCUGCUCCCCCAGCCCUAACCCGUCUCGGAGUAACAGAGCUAAACUAAACAAUGUGGAGCCGAAUUCCGUCACUCCAAAACCACGGCACCAACCUCCCUCUCCCAUGGUACCGGUCCCGUCUCCUGAGGCGGUCGAUGCCGGUUCCCAUGAUUGUUGGCUCUCCAACAGCUCCCUCACCACCAACCCCUAAUGCUGCCUCCCCGAGUCCCGGUACGCCAGUCCGGGCACCGGGCAGUGGGAUGGUAGAGACACUAAAUGCUUCAGCUGCACCUCUUCCGGCCCAAAGUGCAACACUGCUUCCGGAUGAGCCGGUACCUAUAGCCAUAAGCUCACCCACUCCAUCCUCACCGCCAACCCCUGAGGUAAGAAGUGGCCCAAUCCCAUGUCCGGCAACGCUCCCACCUCCCAAAGUGGUCGAGCCAACACCUGGACCCUCCACUCAAUUCAUCCAACCACCGGAUUAUUCU
Non-coding RNA from Caligus rogercresseyi, 5751 nucleotides. NCBI's taxonomy places the organism in Eukaryota, Metazoa, Arthropoda, Copepoda, Siphonostomatoida, Caligidae. The record is from the annotation of a GenBank genome assembly.